Molecule: ribosomal RNA, 292 nt
Filed under: uncultured bacterium
Lineage: Bacteria
Description: partial 16S ribosomal RNA
Rfam family: Bacterial small subunit ribosomal RNA
Source: RNAcentral
GUGCCAGCAGCCGCGGUAAUACAGAGGUGGCAAGCGUUGUUCGGAAUUACUGGGCGUAAAGGGCGCGUAGGCGGUCUUGCAAGUCCUGUGUGAAAUCCCUCGGCUCAACUGAGGAACUGCACAGGAAACUGCUUGGCUUGAGUUCGGGAGAGGGAAGCGGAAUUCCGGGUGUAGCGGUGAAAUGCGUAGAUAUCCGGAGGAACACCGGUGGCGAAGGCGGCUUCCUGGACCGACACUGACGCUGAGGCGCGAAAGCUAGGGGAGCAAACGGGAUUAGAUACCCGUGUAGUCC